Molecule: long non-coding RNA, 246 nt
Filed under: Panax ginseng (ginseng)
Lineage: Eukaryota; Viridiplantae; Streptophyta; Magnoliopsida; Apiales; Araliaceae
Description: long non-coding RNA (PGIN_LNC019224)
Source: RNAcentral
CUCACUUUAGUUUUUUUAAAACUUUCUCUUGCUAAAAAUUUUAACUUUUCCUAUCUAAAAAAUUCAAUUCUCAAAUAAUUUUUGAGUAUUUGAGCCCACCAAAAAAGCAUAUAAAAAAAAACAAGACUCAAAACAUAUAUAUCAGAACUGCAUUACAAAUGUUUAACCAUUGUUACACAUCUAAUCUAGUUAAUUAGUUGUAGGUAUAUAAUGUAUCAAAAUAGAAGUGCUUAUUUUCAUUCAAAG